UUUCAAAAGAUACAAUACUUAGGAUUGGGAGGAAACAGGUUAUCAGGGGAUAUACCGGCCUUCAUAGGAAACCUCAGUCAGUUGUAUUAUCUGGGACUUAGUGAAAAUAAAUUAGAAGGGAAUAUUCCUCCAAAUAUAGGAAAUUGUCAAAAGUUAGAAUACCUAAACUUUUCACAAAAUGACCUUAGAGGAUCCAUACGUUUAGAGAUCUUUAGUAUUUCCCCUUUGUCAAAACUUGACUUUUCACGAAACAUGUUGAAUGAUAGAUUACCUAAAGAAGUGGGUAUGCUAAAAAGUAUUGAGGGGGUAGAUGUCUCUGAGAAUCGUUUAUUUGGGGACAUUCUUGGAACCAUUGGUGAAUGCAGAGUCUUACAAGUCCUCUAAUUGCAAGGGAACAAGACCAUCCUCUUUUGCUUCUCUCAAAGGUCUACGGUAUUUAGAUAUUUCAAGAAAUAAAUUGUUUGGACCAAAUCCCGAUGUUAUGCAAAAUAUCUCUAAUUUAGAAUACUUAGAUGUUUCUUUUAACAUGUUGGAAGGUGAGGUACCAACAGAUGGUGUCUUUGGAAAUGCAACCAGAGUAGCAAUAAUUGGAAACAAUAAACUUUGUGGUGGUAUUUCAGAGUUACAUCUACCACCAUGCCCUUUCAAGGGUAGGAAACAUAUAAAAAACCAUAAUUUCAAGUUGAUAGCUAUGAUAGUCAGUGUGGUUUCUUUUCUUCUCAUACUUUCAUUUAUUAUAGCUAUCUAUUGGAUAAGUAAAAGGAACAAAAAAUCAUCAUUAGAUUCUUCAAUAAUAGAUCAACUAGAUAAGGUUUCAUACAAAGACUUACACAAAGGAACUGAUGGGUUCUCGGAUAGAAACAUGAUCGGGUCAGGAAGUUUUGGUUCCGUGUACAAAGGAAAUCUUGUGUCAGAAGAUAAUGUUGUUGCAUAAUGUUGUUGCAGUAAAGGUCUUGAACCUCCAAAAGAAAGGAGCUCACAAGAGUUUUAUUGUUGAAUGUAAUGCACUCAAAAAUAUUAGACACCAAAAUUUAGUCAAGGUUCUAACAUGUUGUUCUAGUACAAAUUACAAAGGCCAAGAAUUUAAAGCUUUAGUUUUUUAUUACAUGAAAAAUGGAAGCUUAGAACAAUGGUUGCAUCCUCAGAUUUAAGUGCAGAACCUCUAACAACAUUGAACCUUGGUCAUAGAUUAAACAUCAUUAUGGAUGUUGCUUCUGCAUUACAUUAUCUUCAUCGAGAAUGUGAGCAAUUGGUCCUUCGUUGUGAUCUAAAGCCAAGCACACUUCUUGAUGAUGACAUGGUCAUGUGAGUGAUUUUGGCACAGCAAGACUUGUCUCAGCCAUUUGUGGUACCACUCAUAAGAAUACUAGUACAACUGGAAUAAAAGGAACAAUUGGCUAUGCUCCUCUGGGUAUGUUUUAAAUUAUUGAUACUUCCAUCGUUUAUUUGAAUCCUAAUAUGUUUUGAAGUAGUUUAAAAUCAUACCAGUGACAUAUUAUUAACACCUUUUGUUACAUGCUUUAGAGUAUGGGAUGGGUUCUGAAGUAUCUGCAUGUGGUGACAUGUAUAGCUUUGGAAUCCUUAUGUUGGAAAUGCUUACCGGUAGAAGACCCACUGAUCACGCUUUUGAAGAUGGUCAAAAUCUGCAUAACUUUGUUGCAAUAUCAUUUCCUGCUAAUCUUAAGAAAAUUUUGGACCCACAUCUUUUAUCAAGGGACGCAGAAGUAGAAAUGGAAGAUGGAAAUCUUGAGAAUCUUAUUCCAGCUGCAAAGGAGUGCUUAGUUUCACUUUUUAGGAUUGGACUUAUGUGUUCAAUGGAGUCACCAAAAGAAAGACUGAAUAUUGAGGAUGUAUGUAUAGAGCUUAGUAUAAUCAGAAAGGCCUUUCUUGCCGGUGAGAUAAACUGAUAUUUUUAUGUGUAUUCGAAUCAUAACUAAAUCAUUAUUUGGUUAUGGAGUUAUCAUUUGAUUUUUAUUAUCAUAUUUUGCAUUUAAUAUUCCUAAACUUCAAAAUACAAUGGUAAUAAUGGAUUUCUUUUUGAUUUGAAUUUCAGGUGCUCAAACUUGUAAUUAGCAAUUCAGCUUGAUGCGCAGUUUUUACGAAACUUAUAGGUCAAGCUUGAAGCACAUGUGACAAUGUUUAGUUUACCCAUUUGGUUAGCAGUAUUUGUGUAUUUUCCUCCAACCUAGGCGUUGCUUUAAAUAAAUAAUGUUGCACUGCUUUUCUAAUUCAAUAAACUGAGAAUUGAUACUUCUCCCAUAUUUCUCUUCAUUCUUCUGUCAUGUAUUUUCAUUUUCAUACUAUUAUAAAUUUAUCGUUGUAGUUAAAAUUGCACGUUCAAAGUUGUUCCAUAAAAAGCUAGUACAAUUGGGACAAAAGGAACAGUUGGCUAUGCUCUUCUAGAUACGUACUAAAGUCUUGAAUCUUCCAUUGUUUCUUUUAAUAAUCCUAUGUUUGGUGUUGACUUAAAAUUAUACCAGCGACAUAGUAUUAACAGCUUUUCCUACAUGUUUUAGCGUAUGGAGUCUUGGUUUUUAGCUAUAGUUUCUAAAUUAAACCUGGUAUUUUAUAUUUUGAUUAAAAUUUUGAUAAUAACUAUAAGGACUUUAUGCUCUAAUUUUUCAGUGUAUGGAAUUCGAUCCGAGGUGUCAAUUUAAGGCGACAUGUAUAGCUUUUGAAUUCGGGUAUCAAUUUGUGGUCUUAUGGAAUUGAAGACCCACAAAUGAAAUGUUUCAAAAUGAUCAUAAAUUCACAAUCUCCAUAAUUUUGUGAAACUUUCAAUUUCAAAUAACCUUUUCCAUAUUUUCGAUCGGUCUAUUCUCUUCAUUGAAUUAGAACACAAUACAAACUAUGGAAACCUUGGCAGCAUUCAUUCAAAUUGUUGGACAAUUUUACGACUCAACGUGAUUAUGACUCAACAUGUAAUUGCAACAAGAUUGAUACUAUGCAUUCAUUUUGUCCGAAGAACAUGAUCAAUUUGACGCUGUUGAUUCAUAACAGAAGUUCUCAUAAUUAGGGGUAGUUACAAUCUUACAGAUUUGGUAAAAGAAACAAUAAAGCUCAGUAAAUAAGAAUAGCAGUUCAUAUGUGGAGGGACAUCAGAUGCCAAAGAGUCAAUAAUUACCGAACCGAGGACAAAGGUUUGUUAUGAUGACACAAAUUAAAAAUAACUUCUUAGAUACGUGAGUGAGACCGCAUUACAUCGUAUGAUUUGGGCUGUACAAAUCAUAUUGUGGUCAACGGCAAUCCAAUAUCUUACUUUAAUAAUCUCAUUAUAUAGUUGGUGUCUUAAAAUUCAUUCACAGAGUAUGCUGAAAAUUGCCAGGUAAAGUCCAUAUAAGAGAGGGAACUAAUAACUACAUAACAUUUGUUGCGAAGAAGUGGAAGCAUUGUCUAAUGGGGAGGCACUUUAUGAUCAAUAACAGACCAUUGAAGCCUGAAGUUCCUAACUGACCAAAGAUGUCAAAAAUCACGACAUAGAUAGACUUCAAAAUGAAUGGAUUUUGAUUUUGAAUCUAUCAUAAACCAGACAAUGAGAAUGAGGAUGCACAUAAUUUUUCAUGGCAGAUGAUGAAUGCAGAUUUCAGUUUACAAAUAAUUCGAUCAAGAUCAUCUAUUAGGUCAGAUGAAGCUUGGAACUCAAGUUUCAUACAAGGAACUCAAGAUGAACUAGUGAAGAAAAUUGAGCAACCAGUGGCAGGUUGAGCAGCUCAAAUAGAAAUGCAUUUCCAAUAAUGCUCAAGAAUUUAACAAAACUGAAACCAAACUCCAAUCUAUUAUGACAACCAACAAGAGACUGAGGUGUUUAAUGUUCCAAUUGAACUCACACAACCUGCUAAACAAAUAGAAAUAGGAGUUCAUCUUUUUUAAGCAAAUUCUCUUGUCUGCAUUCUUUAUGUAACACAUACAUUAGUGUUGGUUCACUUACUAAAAUUUUAAAGUUCAAACUUCAUAUAUAAUACCUUAAAUAUGUGUAGAAUUUUUCUAGGAGGAAACUUUAUGUUGAGGUUUAGUAUACCAGUGUAUCAGAUUUUUUUUUAAGAAGCUAAAUUAGUCCACCCAAUCAACGUAUCAGAUGGCAAUCAAUAGCUCUUUGGAUUAGCAUGCCAAAUCCAAAAUGAAUAAACCACACACCAAUAAGAAAUCUGCAGAAAUCAUUUGGACAAAUAAGUUUGGAAGACUUUUGUUUCAGUUACGUGUUUAUGAAGUUUUGGAUAUUUCAUUUGAUUGAGCCUUCUAAUACACACUUAUUAUUAUAGUCAAAAAUAAAUAAAUAAUACACUUAUUGAGAUUUUUUUACUGGAAAUAGCUCACCUCGUUUCAUUAGUAAUAAUAGUACUAAUACAAAACUUAUACAAAUGGGUAUGUGGGUAAAAAUGCUGAAAUGUGGUCGUUCUUGGUAAUACAUGAACAACUUCAUUGACUUUUCUACUAGUAAACUCGACACAAGAGUUUUAGAAAAAGGACCUUACAGUCUUGGAUAAUAGCGCCCAAGCUCAUAAACACUUCACUUUUACUCUUAAACCUGACAACUACCGUUUGAGAGUCAAGCAUAAAAUUGACGUUUUAUCCAAACUUAGCCCUUGAACCCAUUUGAGGGCAUGAAGAAGGCCUAUAGCUUCACCUUUGUCAACAUCUUCCGACCGUUGGCUGCUUGCUUGAGAAUGUUAUACAUUUCAUAUUCUAGGUUCAUGUAAAAACGAAAUACGUUUACUAACCUAUUUCUAAGGGUAAUGAUCAUUUCCUUGCAACAUUAUAUUAAAUAAAUAAUGCAAGGGAAUUUUUGAAAUUAUGAUAUUAAACGUGGAUAUAUUAGUUGAUAAUUUGUUAGUAAUUUUGUAAACCAAGGUAAAUCAAUUUUUGUAAGUCAUGACUAAUCCAUUGAGGUAACUCAAUUCUCUUUAACGUUUUUUUUUAUACUAAAAAUAAGGUUUUUAUUUUCCCUUUUAUGCUCUAGGUAAUGAAUAUUUAUAUAAAUUUUACACACAAGAUACCCGUUACAAAAUUAAAUUUUUAUUAAUACAUCUUCAAUUUAUGUGAAAGUGAAAUCUCAACAUGUUGAGAUUGGCGUUGGCUUAUUCUGAUGAUGAAAGCACUCAUAUCAUAACGAACGUAUUAAACAAGGCACGACUGGUAGUAAUACUCAAAUCUAAAAGAAAUAAAAACUAAAAAAAGUGGAAAAGUGAUGCAUUUCAAGAGUGAGGCAAUCAAAAUUUUAAUAUGUUGGUCCACAGUUUGGUGUUGACAGUAUCUUUGAGUUUUCUACCCCAAAAGAAACGAUUAUCAAGCUAAUAUGUUAGUAUUUGUUUUUAUUAUUAUACGAUGAAAGCACUUAUAUCAUAAGGAACACGUAUUAAGCACUGCAGGGAAGGACUGAAUACUGAUAUGACAAUGAGACGUAAUUUAUUUUCUACCCCAAAAGACACGACUCUCAAGUUGGAAAGUCAUCAGCACGUAGCAUUAUCAUAUACGUUUGUCCACAUAGAUAUUGGCAUUGGCUUAUCUUCCAGUUUUCUACCCUAAAAUAUACGAUUGCCAAGCUGAAAUGCUAGUAUUUGUUUUUAUUAUGAUUAUGAUGAAACCAACAAUAAGGUCGUAUUCAAGGCAGAACGAAGAGCCUAGCCCAAAAAAUAAGUCUAAAAUUGGAGACCCCAAAAUAAUAAUAAUAAUAGUAAUAAUAAUUAGGCCGGGGUCUAUUCAGCCAAAAAAAAAAGAUUACUUAAAACUUAGUUUUUUAUUGUUCUAUUUAGAAUUUAUCAUGUGAUGUUAUUAAAGGGAGUUCAAACUCCUAAUUUGCAACAACGGCAUUGUUGAAGCUUAUAGCAAAAUAGAAAGGCACACUAUAAGUGAGAUUUUGAAACAUGUGCAAAUUAGACAAUUUGUAAACCUCCACGAACAGCUAUGUAUCAACGUGAUAAAAAUCUCCGACAACACUUUAGAGCCGUUUGAAACCAAUGAAAACUAAAAUCAUGUUAAAAUUGUUUAAAAUUUUGUAAAAUAGACUUAUAAUGUUAAAAAAAAAAAUGAGUGGCCUGUGACCUCCAACAACGUCAUAGAGGUCCGGUUUAAAUAUGAAUUCUUUAGUUAUUCACUGAUACUUGAAAAAAAAAAAUGCAGAAUUGAUACGUAGAACCUUCAUUCACCAGAGGUUUGUGAAAGACCAACGCCAAACUAUGAUAGGGCAACUUAUCUCCAAUUUGGCUUAGCUUUAGGGAUGUGUUGUGACCUCACAUUAUCAGUAAAUUAGAUACUACCCCAAUUGAAGACUUUCCUGUAAAUGGAGGCUUAAAAUUUUGAUUGCCUCACUCUUGGAGAUUUCACUUAAAUUGAAGAUGUAUUAAUAAAAAUAUAAUUUUGUAAUGGAUAUAUUGUCAACCGGUUCCGUCAUGAAUCCGUCUAAAAUUGGAAAAAGUGAGGAGGACCAAUUAGAGGUAUCGAGUUGCAAAUCUCAUUCCAAAUCAUGCCUAUAAACUUUUAUGAAUUAUUGUCGGGUUUACACUAUGUUACUCAAAUUAUUAUGAAAAUUCCACAUCUUGCUUAUAUGCCAUAUUCCAUUGCACAGUUUAAUAAAAUUUUGAAUAUUCAUGUUACUAUUACUACUUUGAUGGAUGGGGAAUAUUGUUGCUAAAAAUAUAAAAGAUUUGUUUCAAAUAUAUUUUGUGCUGAAAAUAUAUUUAUGGACAAUAAAUAUAUUUUUGUAUCGUAUGAAGAACGAUUUGAUGCAAAUAUAUUUUGAAAGGGAAUAUUAUAUUUUUGAUGCAAAUAUUCUUUCACUGAAGGAGAAAAAAAAAACGUAUCUUCAGUGUGGUAUUUGUUCCAAAUUUAUGAGUUAUACUUUUACUAUAAAUAUAGACCUUGUAUCAGGCUAAACUUUGAGAGAGAUAGAGGGGCUGAAACAAGGGUUUAGAAUGGCAACAACAAAACUAGAGUUUGUCUCUUUGGGAACAAACGAUAGGGUUUGAGGGUUGAUUCACCUUGGGAAACACUAUUAGGAUUCAGUCUCUUGCUUACGGAAAGAGAUUGAGACUUUGGGUAGAAUUAGGCAGGAGACUUAUUCUUUUAACCCAUUGAUUUCUCUUUGUAACGUUACUCAUCAUAUAGUGGAUCGGAGGGCUGCUCUCUCCCCCCAGACUAGGUCAAUUUGGACCGAACUAGGUCAACAAAUUCUUUUGUGUUCUUCUCGCCGUUGUUUUCUACUUUUGACUUGUAUUUAUAACUUCCAUACACUUUGUUUUGGUUGCUUGAUUAUCCUUGCUCCACACAUCAAGUUUGUUAUUGGUGUGAUUUUCAUCGAAUUCACAACAUAUUUGUUAAUUAUUGUUUUUGCAGUGCUGCUAUUUACAGCGAAACAAAUCAUCAAGAAAGUGUCCCGAAAUGUUUUCAGCCGUUGGAUAUCCUCUUUAGUUAAAGUAAAGAUGCUGAAAAAAAAAGGAAAGAAGUGAUAGCAAGGCCAUUUUAACAAGGUCGUGAAUAUGUCGGGAUAAAAAAAUUCAGGAUACUUAUCAUUACCCUUGUUUUUGUUUUUGAUUACUCAUUUAUUGCAUUUACUAGAUUGGAUGUAUGUUAUGUAUCUUUAAAAGUUUUGUGGCGUUCAGGUGUAAACUUCCUAACAAUUUGCGCCAUCUGGAUACACACUUCUAAAAACAUACAGUCCACAAAAAAAGUUGUUAAUUUGGAUACAAAAUUUAAGUCUAGAGACAGUGCAACAUACUGCAUCCGUGUCUAUAUUACAAAUGACAACAGAGAAUUAUUUCAGCUUUACCUACUCACGCAAGAACACCUGAAAUUAGGAAUUUUGAAAUUUAGAGGUGAAUACAAGAAAAUAAAUUAUAAUUACAUAAGCAUAUGUAACGAAGAGUAGAAAACGCAUAUAAAAUUUUAGUUUGUCUCGCCAUCAACAAAGACCGUUCUGAUUAUAUUUAGCUCUCUUGUAACAUCUAUUAUGCUCAUUCUUUCUUUUGGUGAUUCCAUUGAACAAGCAAGUCCAAUCCUUAGAAGUGAAACUAAGCACUUCUCCUUAGCUGGAAUAAGAUUCUCAUUAUGUCCAUCUUCUAUUGAAACAAGAUGUGGGUCCAAAAUCUGUAUAAGAUUAUCUUGAAAUGAACUUUCAACAAACAUAUGUAGAUUUUGACCAUCUUCAAACAUUUCAUCUGUGGGUCUUCUUCCGGUGAUCAUUUCCAACAUAAGCAUCCCAAAGCUAUACAUGUCACCAGAUGUGGAUACUUCAGAACCCAUUCCAUACUCUACAAGAUUAAGCAAAAGCAUUUAAUACUCUAUAACUAGUAGAAUGUCAAAUAUAAGUGAUCUAAGAAAAGUCUACAAAGUACCUGGAGGAGCAUAGCCAACAGUCCCUUUAAUUCCAAUUGUACUAGUUUCCUGAUGAGAUGUGUCUUCAAUAACUGAGACAAGUCUUGCUAUGCCAAAAUCACUCACAUGAGCAACCAUGUCAUCGUCAAGAAGGACGUUGCUUGGCUUUAUAUCACAAUGAAGGACCACCUGCUCACAUUCAUGAUGAAGAUAAUGUAGUGCAGAAGCAAUAUCGAUAGUGAUAUUUAAUCUAUGAACAAGGUCCAACGUUCUUGGAUGCUCUGAAUUCACAUUCCAUGGAUGAAGCCAUUGUUCUAAACUUCCAUUUUUCAUGUAAUCAAAAACUAAAGCUUUAAAUUCUUGACCUUUAUAAUCAGUACCAGAACAACAUGUUAAAAUCUUGGCCAAAUUUCGAUGUCUAACAUUCUUGAGUGCAUUACAUUCGGCAAUAAAACUCUUAUCAGCUCCCUUCUUUUUAAGGUUCAGAACCUUGAUAGCAACAGAUUUAUCUUGUGAUACGAGAAUUCCUUUGUAUACGGAACAAAAACUUCCUGAUCCAAUCAAGUUUCCAUCUGAGAAUCCAUCAGUUCCUUGAUGUAGUUCUUGGUAUGAAACCUUAACUAGCUGGUCAGUUGUAGGUGUAUCAGAAGAUAAUUUCAUGUUUCUUUUCCUUACCCAGUAGAUGGUUAGAAUAAAUAUCAGUAUAAUAAUGAAAAUGACACUAAUUAUCACUGCUACCAACUUCAACUUGAGGUGUUUUGUAGGUUUUAUAACUUUGAUAGGGCAUGGCGGUAGAUGCAGCUCUAAAACUCCUCCACAAAGCUUAUUGUUUCCAAUCAUUGCUAACCUGCUUGCAUUUUGAAAGACACCUUUCAUUGGAACCUCACCUUCCAACAUGUUGAAAGAUACAUUGAAGUAUUCUAGGAAAACAAUAUUCUGCAAACUUGUAGGAAUUGAUCCAGACAACUGAUUUCUUGACAUGUCUAAAUAUUGAAGACCUUUGAGAGAUGCCAAAGUGAAAGGUAUUGUUCCGAGGAAAAGGUUUCCUUGCAAAUGAAGGUAUUCUAAGUUUAUGCAAUCCCCAAUGGUUCCUGGAAUGCCACCUGAGAGAUGAUUUUCAGAGACAUCUAUUGUACCUAUAUUUUUUAGCAAACCUACUUCAUCAGGUAAACUACCACUCAAUGAAUUUUGUGACAAGUCCAAUCCCUUUGUUAAGGAAUAAAUUCUAAAAAUUUCUAAGGGUAUGGCUCCUCGAAGGUUGUUUAGUGACAGGUUUAAAAAUUGCAACUUUUGGCAUUCCCCUAUACUUAGAGGAAUAUUCCCUUCUAAUAAAUUUUCUUCCAUACGCAAAACAAACAACUGACUGAGGUUUCCUAUGAAGGCCGGUAUAUCCCCUGAUAACCUGUUUCCUCCCAAUCCUAAGUAUUGUAUCUUUUGAAACAUCCUAAAAGUUUUUGGAAUCGUUCCUUCUAAACGAUUAUCUUCCAUGGUUAAGAGAAUCAAGCUAGUUAGAUUUCCUAAUUCUAUAGGAAUUUUACCAUAUAUUUGAUUACCCCCAAUAUAUAAUUCACUUAGUCCAGGGGAUAAGUUACCUAUCAAAUUUGGCAAACUACCUCCAAAAUUGUUGUUGGUUACAGAGAGAGAGUACAACUGGCUACAAUUUGCUAAUGAUUUUAAAAACUCUAAAUCCUUACUGGAAUUGUCACCUAAUUUGUUAUCUUGCAAACUUAGCGACCAAAGUUUCUGUAGCUUCCCUAGACAUGGAACUUGUCCGACAAAAUGGUUACCACCAAUAUCAAACCUUAUCAAAGUAUAAGCAUUUGCAAUGGAAGUUGGGAUUGGACCAGAGAAUUGAUUUCCUCCAAUUCCAUAGAAAUAGAGGUUAGGGAGAGUGUUGAACAUAUUGGGCGGAAGAGAGCCACUAAAGCUAUUCGCUGCAACUGAGAUCCCCGUAAGAGAUGACAUAUUAUAAAGACAAGAAAGAAAUGUACCAGACAAUUUGUUGGCAUGCACUGCUAUAAACUUCAACUGUUUUAAGAAGCAAAUUUCACGUGGAAUAUUUCCUACCAAGUUAUUAUAACCAAUUGAAAAAAUAUUAAGAGAUGAAAGAUUCCUUAUGGAUGGUGGGAUUUUUCCAGAUAAAUUGUUUGUUCCGAUAUAGAAAAUGUGAAGCUUUUGAAGAGAGCCAAAUUGGCUAGGUAUUUUUCCAAAAAGUUUGUUUCCUUCUAAGUCUACGCUUUUGAGCUCAGAGCAGUUUGUCAAGUUUAAAGGAAAUUCUCCAACCAGAGAGUUGUUGGAUAGAAGAAAAUAUCUUAAUCUUGACAAACGACCCAACUCUUGUGGAAUGUUUCCAUUGAAAUUGUUGUUUUCAAGGUUAAGAAAUCUCAAACGAGAAAGAUUACCAAUAUAUGGAGAUAUGGAUCCAUGCAACUUGUAUCCUGACAGCUUCAACUUGGUAACUCUUUGAUGCUUGGGACUGCAUAUGAUUCCAUUCCAGUUGCAAAAGUGAGUUGAACUAUUCCAUUUAUUUAGGAUACCAUAUGGGUCACUAGAUAUUAAUUGCUUGAAUUGGAGCAAUGCCAAAUGAUCGGUUUGGUUUCCUAGUGCCACUGCCACAGUUCUGUUUGGGCCAAACCACAUUAAGGCUAAGGUAAAGAGAUGAAGGUAUACAUACCAAGACAUAGGUAACAUCAAAAUAUAAGGCUUCAUUUGGUUGAUGAGCUAUACAGAGGGUGUUCUUUUUUUGGGGGGUGAUCAGAGAGCUAGAGGCAUGGCCGUCCCUAUGAAAUAGGAGGCUCGGCUCUCUAUUUAAAAUAGACGCCAAUAAAUAAAAACGCAAUUUUUUUGUGUAGUUAAGCUUUAUUAAAAAAUCAGAAUCAGAAUAGUUUCUAAACAUGAAACGAAAUACAAAAAAAUUAAGUGAAAGAGAGGUAGAAUUUACUAACGGUGCCGUUUGGAUUGAUUACUUAUCCGUUGUGGGAAAGGGGAUAACGAAUGAUUUUUGUGAAAAAUAAAUGAUUGUUGUGAUUCUUUCAAUGAAAUAACUUUUCAAAUUAACUGAUUAAGUGAUUAUACAAAUUGGGGGUGGUUUGAUAGUACCAUAUUUAUGUUCAGAUAGGAGAACUAAAGUCUAGAAAAAACUCAAACGUGUAAAAAAAGAACAUAUAUUUUUUAUUUAAAUGGGGGUGGGUAUUAGAGUUGAUUUUUCUAAAGCCCAUAGCUUUUGGAGGCCCGGCUUGAUUGAGCACCUUGCACUCCCUCAAGGCCGGGCCUGGCUAGAGGGUGUUGAUAAUUAGGCCGGAAUGCAAUGCAUGGUGAUUCCUUCUCUUUGAGAAUGCAUUUAAAUGCUAGAUUCAACGUGAAGUACGAAAUGCAAAAUUUAAUUUUGUGAAUGGACACGUAAGAAAUAAUGAUUAAAUAAUAAGAUCAAAAUUUGUUGUAUUUAAAACAUUUUUAGUAUGAAAAUUAUUUAUAAUAUCAAAUUUUAUUUAAUAUAUGUUGAUGAAAUAUUCUUUAAAAAAAUGUUGAUUAAAUAAAAUUCUAAAAUUAUAUUUUUUUUUUGAAAACUUUAAUAAUUAGAAUUGAUAAUUUGUUUUUUUGAAUAAUAAUUAUAAGUGAUAAUUAAAAGGCAACAAUAUAUUAGAAUUUGAACCCAAGAGCACUUAGAUGAGAUGGAACGGGUCUCUUCUAGAUUAACCAAGGUCCUGGGUUCGAAUCCAGCCUUGGGCAUGCAGCAGUGUUAAAACUCUUAGGGAGAGUCUGCCGCCCAUUUGAGUCCCACAAUGCUCGAGGGAUUAGUCUCUGCAGUUGCGCGCGGAGGAUACCCGAUUUACACCAAAAAAAAAUUAGAAUUUGAAAUGGAGGGAGUACUAGUUAUAACUUAUGAGUAAUAUGGCUUGACUUCCAACUUGAGAAUCGUGUCUUUUGGUGUAGAAAAUAAGGUGUCAUCGUCAUGCUAUAUAUUAUAUAUAUAUGACCCGCUGAUGUUGCUGCACACCAAUCAUUCAUUAUCAUAUCAGUAUUAGUCCUGCCAUGUUUAAUACGUUUGUUAUGAUAUGAGUGCUUUCAUGGUAUAAUAAUAAUAAAAACAAAUGCUAACAUUUCAGCUUGGAAAUCGUUUCUUUUAGGGUAGAAAACUGGAAGAUACUGCCACGGCUGAAAGUGACUGAUCUGUGACUUAGAAAAGUCACUCAACAUUUUCCUCUCACCUUCUUCGUUCGUUCUAACUCCUAUUGCAGCCAAUAUUUAAAUCCACUAGAAGAAGAGAGAGCAUAUCAAACCCAAACACAACCACCAUAUAGCAUAAGAAAACUAACUAAUCUAUUAGCGCCUUGUUACUUAAACAAAUGAAGCCUUUUCCUUUCUUGUUAUCUAUAUGUUUUGGCAUGUAUACCUUUAUCUCUUUCUUCUCCAUACUUUAAGCUUAACUUGGUUUGGCCCAAACAAAACUACAACACUGGCCUUGGCAUUUGAAAACCAAACUGAUCAUCUGGCAUUGCUCAAAUUCAAGGAGUCUAUAUCCAGCGACCCAUAUAGAAUCCUCGAUUCUUGGAAUGCUUCUACACAAUUCUGCAACUGGCAUGGAGUCUGUUGAGAUUGUCUUCAAAUUUGUGGUCUGGAAGAACAGGGAAAUCGUGACACGAUUUUGGUAUCGUGACACGAUUCCGGGUGCCGUGAGAUAGGUUGCAGGGUGCAAAAUCGUGGCACGAUUUGGGAAAAUCGUGACACGAUCGUGAAACUUGCUCGUUAAGUAUCCGUGAUAAGGACUGGUCGUUUCUUCGGUGGUACGCAGAUCGUGACACGAUUUGGGAAAUCGUGACACGAUUUCAACAGAGGAAGACUAGUAUGUAAGUGUUCUUGUGCAGAUUUGAAGAGAGAGUUGGAAGAGAGAGAGACUUGGGAAAUCAAAGGGGGAACUCUAGGGUUUAGGGUUCUUUGAUUAGAGUAUCUCUUGGGUAGAAAACAUGGGAAACACCUUGUAAAGAGAGAAUCAUUGAGUGUCUUGGUGAGAUUGGGAGAAGGGUAGAAAUUAGGGUUUGUUCAUAGUGAACUUGUCAAGCUAAUUUCUUGUAACCUUUUGUAUCCCUUUUGUAAGAACUCAUUUGAUAGUGGAUUGGAGAGUACAAUCUCUCCUCCAGAGUAGGUCAAGUUUGGACCGAACUGGGUGAACAAUCUCUUGGUGUAUUUGUUUUCUACUUCCCUCUCCUUGUUUAUCUUGUGAUUGUGCUUUGUGUUUCACACUUGUUUCCUAGAUUAGAUCUAGGUGGUGUUUUGUUGUUUGUUGCUUGCACAAUACACUUUGUUUGGUGGUUACCACUCUCCGUCGCUCCACACAUCAUUAUUCUUUGUAUUGGUGUGGUUCGAUCCGAUCUUGGAGAUACGGGGAUACACAACAGAGUCACAUGCAAUUCCAAGCAUCAAAGAGUUACAAAAUUAAUGUUACAAGGAUACAAGUUGCAUGGAUAUAUAUCUCCUUAUAUUGGCAAUCUCACUUGUAUAAGAAACCUUAACCUUGAAAGCAAUGGUUUCUUUGGAAAAAUUCCACAGGAAUUGGGGCAAUUGUUACAAUUGCAGGGACUUUUUCUCAGUAAUAACUCGUUUACAGGAGAAAUCCCUACGAACUUGACAAAUUGCUCCAAUCUUAAAGUCUUGCGCUUAUAUGGAAACAAACUCACUGGAAAAAUACCAACUGGAAUUGGCUCUCUACAAAAUCUUCAUGCAAUGAACAUUGGGAAAAUAAUUUAAUUGGAGAAAUACCGCCAUUCAUAGGUAAUCUUUCUUCCUUGAUAGGUCUUGGGGUUGGUUACAACUAUUUAGAGGGUGAUAUUCCACAAGAAAUAUGUCAUCUUAAAAACUUGACAAUAAUGUUACUGCCUGUGAACAACCUAUCUGGUACAUUUCCACCUUGUCUUCACAAUAUGACAUCUCUUACUGGCAUCUCAGCCCCAGCAAAUAGCUUCGGUGGCUCUCUUCCACCCGACAUGUUCCAAACUCUCCCCAAUCUCCAAGUUUUUGAAAUAGGCGGGAAUCAGAUGUUAGGUAAAAUCCCUAUUUCCAUUGCAAACGCUUCUACCCUAACAUUGUUUGACAUCAGUUCAAACCAUUUUGUUGGACAAAUUCCAAGUCUAGGGAAGUUACAAGAUCUUAAUUAUUUGAACUUAGAAUUGAACAUUUUAGCUGAAAAAUCAAUUAAAGAUUUUGAAAACAUUGACAAAUUGUAGUAAAUUAUACGGUGUUAGUAUAGCUGCUAAUAAUUUUGGAGGUCAAUUGCCAAAUUUGGUGGGCAAUUUAUGCUCCCAACUUAGUAGACUAGCCCUUGGGGGUAAUGAGAUAUCGGGAAAAGUUCCUGCUGAGUUGGGAAAUCUAGUAAAUCUAGUUCUCUUGAGCAUGGAAAAUAACCAAUUUGAAGGAAUUAUUCCAGCUACAUUUGGGAGAUAACCGUUUAGAAGGAACGAUUCCAAAAACUUUUGGGAUGUUUCAAAAGAUACAAUACUUAGGAUUGGGAGGAAACAGGUUAUCAGGGAAUAUACCGGCCUUCAUAGGAAACCUCAGUCAGUUGUAUUAUAUAGGAAUGCGAGGGAUACAAAAUGGUAGUGGUCAAAUUUACCGAAAGAUAUAAUGCAAGGGAAUUUUAUAUAAUAGCUUCACCUUUGUCCACAUCUUCCGACCAUUGGCUUGAGAACUGAACAUUAUUUUACAAAAAAUUUACCACGAACCCCCGCCAACAAGAUAGUCGACAUAAAAUGGGCGGAAUGCGAUUUUCAGCUUUAUACCUCUAAUUGGUCCUCCUCACUUUGUCCAAUUUUAGACAAUUCAUGGUGGAACUGGUUCAUCCAUUUUAUCAUCCCUUGGUAGGACUAUCAAAACUAGAUAUAAGCCUUCGUGUUGCGCGGAUAUCUUCAAUGUUUAUUUUGUGAAAAAAUUAUAGAAUCAAUACCUAUUAACUAUUUAUAUAGGGGAGCUUGCGGAAGAAAAUGAAAGAUUGGUGUGACGGAAUUGGUUUUCUCUACUUUCGUUUUUUGUAACCGUGAAAGAUAAUUUUUGGUCGUUGAGAAGUAAAAUUUACUGAAAGAUGUAUAUAUGAUUUCAAAA
This 15399-nucleotide long non-coding RNA is filed under the name Medicago truncatula (barrel medic). RNAcentral's name for it is "long non-coding RNA (MTRU_LNC002928)". Lineage: Eukaryota; Viridiplantae; Streptophyta; Magnoliopsida; Fabales; Fabaceae. The record is from RNAcentral.